UCGCGGGUGACUGCGAAUCUGAAGGAAGCCCGAGGCAAAAUGCUGGCCUGACGAACAGGAAGCGGAUGAGGCGGCGUGGCGGGGUAAGACGGCGCAUUUCGUCAAAGCCCAAUACUUGCACGGAACGCCACGACGUAGAUCCGACAGGCCUAAGCAGGAAGGUCGCGCGA
This 170-nucleotide non-coding RNA is filed under the name Pseudomonas sp. URMO17WK12:I11. Lineage: Bacteria; Pseudomonadati; Pseudomonadota; Gammaproteobacteria; Pseudomonadales; Pseudomonadaceae. The record is from RNAcentral.